Long non-coding RNA from Cyprinus carpio (common carp), 1048 nucleotides. The record is from Ensembl. Lineage: Eukaryota; Metazoa; Chordata; Actinopteri; Cypriniformes; Cyprinidae.
AGUUUCAUUACACAGUGUUCACUUGAACUCUGAAUUGGUGUCUGGGAACGUGAUAGUAGGUGUUCGUUCGUCUUUGCCAAUUCCUGACGUAACUUUCAUCCUGGGAAACGAUUUAGCUGGAGGCAGUGUGUGGGGUUGUUUAAAUGUGCCCCCUGAAGUUGUAACGUCACCUCUCGUUGCUACUACUGAUGAGUGUGCUGUAAAGCACCCUGAUGGGUUUUCAGCAUGUGCGGUUACAUACUCUAUGGUUAAACCUGACAUUCACAUCUCAGACGAGGUUGAGUUAAGUGGUACGUGGUUUGAAAAUCCUGAUUUAACCAAGUUGUCUUCUGUUGCUCCACAGGGGGAAUUAAAUCUGCAUCCUCUGAGUGCUGAAAAGGUUUUUGAACAUCUUGGUGAUUCGUCUCUGUCUUAUGAUAAACUAAUUGCCACUCAAAGGUCAGAUCCUACGCUUGCGUCAUUAUUUGAAGUGGUUCAUACAGAGCAGAUGUUUGGGAAUGCACCCCAGGGUUACUUUCUCAGAGAUGGGAUAUUGAUGAGAAAGUGGGUGCCUUCUUACUCGUCUGAUAUCUGGAAUGUGGUUGAUCAAAUUGUGAUUCCAGUUGGUUAUCGAGACAUGAUCUUAAGUGUGGCUCAUGAUGGUACGGCUGGUCAUUUGGGUGUAAGGAAAACAUACCAUCGAAUUUUGCGUAACUUUUACUGGCCCGGUUUGAAGAAAGAUGUGUCCCGCUAUUGUCAAACUUGCCAUACUUGUCAAAUGGUUGGGAAGCCUAAUCAAACUAUUCCUCCUGCUUCGUUGUUUCCAGUUCCUGUGGUGGCUGAACCUUUUGAACACAUAAUCAUUGAUUGUGUUGGGCCUCUUCCUCGUUCAAAGUCUGGUUGUAAAUACUUGCUGACCAUAAUGUGCGUGACUACACGUUUUCCUGAGGUGGUAUCUUUACGUACUAUAACGGCGAGAACGAUAUCUAAAGCACUCGUUAAGUUCUUUACAAUGUUCGGUUUACCGAAAGUAGUUCAGAGCAAUCAAGGUACUAAUUUUACAUCUCGU